This 384-nucleotide ribosomal RNA is filed under the name uncultured prokaryote. RNAcentral's name for it is "bacterial SSU rRNA". It matches the Rfam family "Archaeal small subunit ribosomal RNA", at positions 341 to 725 of the family's 1478-position model. The record is from RNAcentral.
GCGAAAACUUUACAAUGCUGGCAACAGCGAUAAGGGAACCUCGAGUGCCAGGUUACAAAUCUGGCUGUCGGGAUGCCUAAAAAGCAUUUCAUAGCAAGGGCCGGGCAAGACCGGUGCCAGCCGCCGCGGUAACACCGGCGGCUCGAGUGGUAACCGUUAUCAUUGGGUCUAAAGGGUCUGUAGCCGGCCGGAUAAGUCUCUUGAGAAAUCUGGCAGCUUAACUGUCAGGCUUUCAGGAGAUACUGUCUGGCUCGAGGCCGGGAGAGGUGAGAGGUACUUCAGGGGUAGGGGUGAAAUCUUGUAAUCCUUGAAGGACCACCAGUGGCGAAGGCGUCUCACCAGAACGGACCUGACGGCAAGGGACGAAAGCUAGGGGCACGAACC